Molecule: long non-coding RNA, 852 nt
Organism: Pygocentrus nattereri (red-bellied piranha)
Lineage: Eukaryota; Metazoa; Chordata; Actinopteri; Characiformes; Serrasalmidae
Exons: 2
Source: RefSeq, a predicted model, not a curated record
CUAGAGGAGGAGCGUCUAGGCCUGCGCUCACAGUGGAGUUAAAAAAGCUUUGGCUCUUCUCGCAACGGAGCACCGUGGGCCCCCUCACACUGGACACAGAGGUGGUCUAGGCCCAGGGGACCCAACUGAGGCUCAAGACCUCUUAGAGCACAGAACUUCUGGAGUGUUUGUAUCCCUUCCAUCUGGACAGAGGACAUCUGGCAAGAAAACCUCUCAAAAGCUACUUAUUGUGAGUUGUUGUGAAAAAAAGAUGCUAUGUGUCCUUUGUAAAAGUAAGUUUGUUCCAGUGUUUUUCUGAGCAGCAUUCACCAUAUGAUACUAAAACACCUCUCAGCUCCAUGUCCUCGCUUUUCUUUUAAGUGUAUUUGGAGGGUGAAAGCCGCCAUUUGCAUUUGCUGCAGACUGGAGUACCCUCCAGGCUCUCAACAUGGCCUGUAACACAAUUACGCUCUGGCUGCAGCCGCUCUGAUGGGAGACAACUACAGCUAAACAUCUCCACAUGCACUCAAGGGCAAAGGCAAACUUCAGAUGAGGCUUACGCUGGUAUUAUGAGUCAUGUUGUGUUGCAACAGCUUGAACGAAGUAUGGCAAAUAUUACAGCAGACCUGUCUGAAACGUGAGCUCCAUUACUUAGCCAUUGCAGCAUCCUUGCCAGUUCUCUGCUUUGGUUCAAUACUGAUUGAUAGUUUUUGCAUGAAUGAUUCACACAUCCAUGGUUUGUAAUAUUAUUGAUUAAGUGAGAGGGCUCUCAUCAACACAGCAUGCAGAACCAGUGUUUGGACACACUUAUUGCAAGCUGCUUGUGAAGAAAAGUAAAUGACUGUUAAUAAAUUAAAGCUGAGGAGUGUUUUA